RNAcentral lists this ribosomal RNA (821 nucleotides) under uncultured bacterium. Its description in RNAcentral is "bacterial SSU rRNA". It matches the Rfam family "Bacterial small subunit ribosomal RNA", at positions 1 to 805 of the family's 1533-position model. The record is from RNAcentral.
CGCACUAGUGAUUUCCGGUUGAUCCUGGCAAAGGAUGAACGCUAGCGGCAGGCCUAACACAUGCAGGUCGAGGGGCAGCGGGGUGUAGCAAUACACCGCCGGCGACCGGCGCACGGGUGCGUAACGCGUAUGCAACCUGCCCGCGACAGGGGGAUAACGCUGUGAAAGCGGCACUAAUACCCCGUAACACCCGGGGCCGCAUGGCUUUGGGUUGAAAGGAGAGAUCCGGUCGCGGAUGGGCAUGCGUGACAUUAGCUAGUUGGCGGGGCAAACGGCCCCACCCAAGGCUGCGAUGUCUAGGGGAGCUGAGAGGCUAAUCCCCCACACUGGUACUGAGACACGGACCAGACUCCUACGGGAGGCAGCAGUGAGGAAUAUUGGUCAAUGGUCGGAAGACUGAACCAGCCAUGCCGCGUGGAGGAAGAAGGCCCUACGGGUCGUAAACUUCUUUUGCCCGGGAGUAAUAAGGGGGGUGCGCCCCGCGAUGAGAGUACCGGGCGAAUAAGCAUCGGCUAACUCCGUGCCAGCAGCCGCGGUAAUACGGAGGAUGCGAGCGUUAUCCGGAUUUAUUGGGUUUAAAGGGUGCGUAGGCGGACGCGUAAGUCGGCGGUGAAAUGUCCCGGCUCAACCGGGGAGCUGCCGUUGAUACUGCGCGACUAGGGUGCGAGCGGCGCCGGCGGAAUGUGUGGUGUAGCGGUGAAAUGCAUAGAUACCACACAGAACACCGAUCGCGAAGGCAGCUGGCGAGGACGUUACUGACGCUGAGGCACGAAGGCGUGGGGAUCGAACAGGAUUAGAUACCCUGGUAGUCCACGCAGUAA